RNAcentral lists this long non-coding RNA (814 nucleotides) under Olea europaea subsp. europaea. Lineage: Eukaryota; Viridiplantae; Streptophyta; Magnoliopsida; Lamiales; Oleaceae. The record is from RNAcentral.
CUUGCUUUGGCAUUUCAGACACUUGGUGUAGUAUACGGUGAUAUGGGCACAAGCCCUUGAUACGUCUUCUUUGAUGUAUUCAGUAAGGUACUCAUAGCGUCAGAGGUCGAUGUCUUGGGAGCUUUAUCGCUUGUAAUGUACACAAUUGCUCUCACUCCUUUAACAAAAUACAUUUUUGUGGUGCUCAAGGCGAAUGAUAAUGGGGAAGGUACUAACUUUUUGCUUAAAAAUAUGGUUUGGCAAAUUCCAUACUAACGACUUCCAUUGUUCGAUUUGCAGGAGAAACAUUUGCAUUAUAUUCAUUGAUUUGUAUGUAUGCAAAUGUUAAUCUUCUUCUGAAUAGUCAAUAGGCAGAUGAAUAUAUAUCGAGUUUCAAGCUCAAACUUUCGACUCCAGAACUUGAAAGGGCUUUGAGUAUAAAAGAUGCAUUGGAACAUAAGUCUUCUCUGAAAACCCUUUUCUUGCUUUUGGUUCUUAGGGGGACAUCUAUGAUUAUAGGGGAAAUUUGACACCGACGAUUUCUGGUAUAUAGACCUUUCGCCUAUCCUAGAACCAAAUAAGAAAAGUAACGAUAUUACAUAACAAUACAUUUUUACUGUAGUAAUGUUUGUUGUGAGCGAUUUUAGGGUCAGAUACCAGGAUUUGGUACAAGUAGGUCAACCGAGUUUCGACAUCUUAAUAACUAGCAUAUGAGUAUAUGAUGCAGAAAUGUAUCAAUUUCACAAAGAACAAGAAAAGAAAGUGGAAAAGGGGAUCAAGGGAAGAAAUGAGGGCAAGAGAAAUAUUUUAUUCAUAUAUUCAAUAGGUACUUAUU